AGGACGAACGCUGGCGGCGCGCUUAACACAUGCAAGUCGAGCGAGAACCAUUCCUUCGGGAAUGGGGACAGCGGCGAACGGGUGAGUAACACGUGGGUAAUCUGCCCUCGAUUCUGGGAUAGCCCGGGGAAACCCGGAUUAAUACCGGAUAGCCUCUCGAGCUUACGAGCUCGUGAGAAAGGGUAGCUUCGGCCUCCGAUCGAGGAUGAGCCCGCGGCGGAUUAGCUUGUUGGUGGGGUAAUGGCCUACCAAGGCGACGAUCCGUAGCUGGUCUGAGAGGACGAUCAGCCACACUGGGACUGAGACACGGCCCAGACUCCUACGGGAGGCAGCAGUGGGGAAUCUUGCGCAAUGGGCGAAAGCCUGACGCAGCGACGCCGCGUGGGGAAGAAGGCCUUCGGGUCGUAAACCUCUUCAGCGAGGACGAAGCC
RNAcentral lists this ribosomal RNA (431 nucleotides) under uncultured soil bacterium. Its description in RNAcentral is "bacterial SSU rRNA". It matches the Rfam family "Bacterial small subunit ribosomal RNA", at positions 26 to 452 of the family's 1533-position model. The record is from RNAcentral.